RNAcentral lists this ribosomal RNA (433 nucleotides) under uncultured bacterium. Its description in RNAcentral is "partial 16S ribosomal RNA". It matches the Rfam family "Bacterial small subunit ribosomal RNA", at positions 29 to 507 of the family's 1533-position model. The record is from RNAcentral.
AACGAACGCUGGCGGCAUGCCUAACACAUGCAAGUCGAACGAGACCUUCGGGUCUAGUGGCGCACGGGUGCGUAACGCGUGGGAACCUGCCCUUAGGUUCGGAAUAACUCCCCGAAAGGGGUGCUAAUACCGGAGAAUGUCUUCGGACCAAAGAUUUAUCGCCUUUGGAUGGGCCCGCGUUGGAUUAGCUAGUUGGUAGGGUAAAAGCCUACCAAGGCGACGAUCCAUAGCUGGUCUGAGAGGAUGAUCAGCCACACUGGGACUGAGACACGGCCCAGACUCCUACGGGAGGCAGCAGUGGGGAAUAUUGGACACUGGGCGAAAGCCUGAUCCAGCAAUGCCGCGUGAGUGAUGAAGGCCUUAGGGUUGUAAAGCUCUUUUACCCGGGAUGAUAAUGACAGUACCGGGAGAAUAAGCUCCGGCUAACUCCGUG